GGUUGAUCAAGAUGUUUGAUGUAUUGGUUGGGCAAAUUUUCACAUAUUUGGAUUUUGUUAGCAUGUUAUUUAGCUCAAACAACCUUGUGAUUUUUUGGUUGCUUUGUGACAGGUUUUGGACAGUCGCGGCCAUCUGCUGGUAGCAUUGGGUCAUGGUCUAUGGCCUUCUAUGGUUUUGAUAUCUGAAAUAGUUCAAACCUUUAUCCUAGCAGACUUCUGUUACUACUAUGUUAAAAGUGUUUUCGGUGGACAGCUGGUAAUGCGUCUUCCUUCUGGGGUCGUGUAACUGAUGAUUGUGAUAGUUAUGGACAGAAAUUUCACAUUCGUUUGUCACUUUUCUUUUGGUUAUCUUGGGUUUCUCUAGAAGGUCCCAGCUCUUGUCUAGGACCCUUCAGGCGCAAAAUCAGGCAUGCGCCUUUUGUGAAGUUAGCACUAUUUUAAAUAUAUAAGCAGUAGAUUUUCUUGCUAUGAUAGACUAUUUUACUUUAUUUAGCAGUUAGCACUAACAUAUGGCUUUUGGAUAUGUACUCAUUUUUGUACUUAUGUACUAAUGUACCACAUGAAUGAUAAAUGAUUCUGACAUAACUAUCCCUGAAUGUACCCCUCCCGUCGCCCUUUCCCUUUCA
Solanum tuberosum (potato) is the source of this 626-nucleotide long non-coding RNA. RefSeq lists it as uncharacterized. NCBI's taxonomy places the organism in Eukaryota, Viridiplantae, Streptophyta, Magnoliopsida, Solanales, Solanaceae. The transcript has 2 exons. The record is from RefSeq and is a predicted model, not a curated record.